RNAcentral lists this ribosomal RNA (515 nucleotides) under uncultured bacterium. Its description in RNAcentral is "partial 16S ribosomal RNA". It matches the Rfam family "Bacterial small subunit ribosomal RNA", at positions 28 to 523 of the family's 1533-position model. The record is from RNAcentral.
GACGAACGCUGGCGGCGUGCCUAAUACAUGCAAGUCGAACGCUUCCUACCGGUGCUUGCACCGGGAAAGAAGAGUGGCGGACGGGUGAGUAACACGUGGGUAACCUACCUACAAGCGGGGGAUAACAUUCGGAAACGGAUGCUAAUACCGCAUAGAUCUUUUUGUCUCCUGACAGAAAGAAGAAAGACGGUUUCGGCUGUCACUUGUAGAUGGACCCGCGGCGCAUUAGUUAGUUGGUGAGGUAAUGGCUCACCAAGACGAUGAUGCGUAGCCGACCGGAGAGGGUGAUCGGCCACACUGGGACUGAGACACGGCCCAGACUCCUACGGGAGGCAGCAGUAGGGAAUCUUCCGCAAUGGACGAAAGUCUGACGGAGCAACGCCGCGUGAGUGAAGAAGGUUUUCGGAUCGUAAAACUCUGUUGUUAGAGAAGAACAAGGAUGAGAGUAACUGCUCGUCCCUUGACGGUAUCUAACCAGAAAGCCAUGGCUAACUACGUGCCAGCAGCCGCGGUAA